This 480-nucleotide ribosomal RNA is filed under the name uncultured bacterium. RNAcentral describes it as "partial 16S ribosomal RNA". It matches the Rfam family "Bacterial small subunit ribosomal RNA", at positions 28 to 523 of the family's 1533-position model. The record is from RNAcentral.
GACGAACGCUGGCGGCGUGCUUAACACAUGCAAGUCGAACGAUGAAGUUCCUUCGGGAAUGGAUUAGUGGCGAACGGGUGAGGAACACGUGAGAAACCUGCCUUUCAUUUUGGGAUAACUCCGGGAAACCGGGGCUAGACCCGAAUACUCCGUCUCGGCGGCAUCGCUGAGCCGGGAAAAAAUUUUGAUGAAAGAUGGUCUCGCGGCCUAUCAGCUAGUUGGUGAGGUAAUGGCUCACCAAGGCAACGACGGGUAGCCGGCCUGAGAGGGCGACCGGCCACACUGGGACUGAGACACGGCCCAGACUCCUACGGGAGGCAGCAGUGGGGAAUAUUGGGCAAUGGGCGCAAGCCUGACCCAGCGACGCCGCGUGAGGGAUGAAGGCCUUCGGGUUGUAAACCUCUUUCAGUAGGGAAGAAGCGAAAGUGACGGUACCUAAAGAACAAGCACCGGCUAACUAUGUGCCAGCAGCCGCCGUAA